UGAAAGACUGUGAUUAGGAAAAGUAUCUUAGAAUUUAUUUUUAGAGAGUAGCUGUUUGGUGGAAAGCUAUAAUAAAUCUAUGAGAAAAUCACCUAGGAGUUGGAGACUGAAAAGCUUAUACGCUGAAUAAGUUAUCACGUUGACCUGCGUUAAAGGAUAGAGUAUGUAUGUACUUGAACUAAAGCAUUUAUUAUGAUGCAAUGACCUUAGGUGGUUUGCGAAUUCAACUUCGUCCUUUAG
This 240-nucleotide non-coding RNA is filed under the name Clostridium neonatale. RNAcentral's name for it is "T-box". It matches the Rfam family "T-box leader". From Rfam's summary of the family: Uncharged tRNA acts as the effector for transcription antitermination of genes in the T-box leader family. T-boxes are found upstream of many aminoacyl-tRNA synthetase genes and some amino acid biosynthetic genes usually in Gram-positive bacteria. The record is from RNAcentral. Lineage: Bacteria; Bacillati; Bacillota; Clostridia; Eubacteriales; Clostridiaceae.